UACGGAGGGGACGAGCGUUGUCCGAAGUUACUGGGCGUAAAGCGCGCGUAGGCGGGUUGGCAAGCCUGCUGUGAAAGCCCGGGGCUUAACCCCGGAGGGUCGGUGGAUACUGCCAGUCUUGAAGGUGCUAGGGGGAGAUGGAAUUACCGGUGUAGCGGUGAAAUGCGUAGAUAUCGGUAGGAACACCAGUGGCGAAGGCGGUCUCCUGGGGCACUCUUGACGCUGAGGCGCGAAAGCUGGGGGAGCGAACGGG
This 253-nucleotide ribosomal RNA is filed under the name uncultured bacterium. RNAcentral describes it as "partial 16S ribosomal RNA". It matches the Rfam family "Bacterial small subunit ribosomal RNA", at positions 524 to 776 of the family's 1533-position model. The record is from RNAcentral.